Acinonyx jubatus (cheetah) is the source of this 2327-nucleotide long non-coding RNA. RefSeq lists it as uncharacterized. The transcript is spliced from 2 exons. The record is from RefSeq and is a predicted model, not a curated record. NCBI's taxonomy places the organism in Eukaryota, Metazoa, Chordata, Mammalia, Carnivora, Felidae.
UUCUGGGGGAAGACUAGCAUGCCAUAGAGCGGGUGUUUGGUGGGGGGGAGAGGGGCACAGGGGGCGCCUGGGAUUCUUGGGAGGAAAGAAGCUCAGGGGGCAGGGGUAUUCCUCUUUACAACUUAGGGGAGGGUCUAGAUACACUGAAGGGAAGACUCUUACUGUCCUACGAAGGGAUCAAAACAGAAGUAUUCUGCAAGUAUCUUCUGUCACAGCAGGUUGGACAAACCUUUCUGGCUAUGGGCUGUGGCCUGGGGGAUUUUCUUUUAAAGUGAGUCAAUCUGAUACCAUCACCAGUUUUCUUAGAAAGCCAAAUGGCUCAUCUCAGCAGCAGGGUUUUUUAAGGCCCCCAGUGAUAGAAUAGGUGAGGGUCCAACUUCAUUUUGGUAUCAGAAUUUUAUCUUGCAGAGAGCCUAAGUAUUUUGAAAACGUUUCUGCCCACUGCCUUUGGUGAGAAGGACAGCUCCUGAUGAAAAUCUGCCCAUAUUCCCAUUAUUCAAAACUUUCUGCCAGGAUACUGCAGAAUUUCCCCUCUGUUACAGCCCAGGGUUCUUGUUGUAACCAAAACUGUUUCAGCUAAUACGUGGGGGCUCUCCCUCCCUGUCCCUUGGAAAAUUAAUUUAACAUUGUUUAGGCUUAGUCCUUCCCUUCCACAAUGUCUUAACACACACACACACACACACACACACACACACACACAUUCAUUCAUUUAUUUUUUACAGUGUCUUCAUAAACACAGAUGAAAAAGCUCUUUGCUCUGCUAGGAGAUACUGAGGGCCAUUGGACGGUCGGGGGUGUGUGGCUUCUGACUAAUAACGGAUGGAAUCAACACAUUGUCCACGGGCUUGUGGGUGUGUGUCUGACUUUACCUCAGUAAAUGGGGUCUGGGUUCAUUAGAGUGAAGUGCUUUGGUUGUUAAUGGAAAGUUUGCCUGAAAGUCAUGGGGGGACCCUCAAGUCAUAGGAUGUGUAGGAAGAGCCCUGAAGGUCCCCAUCCUGUUACAUGCCUGCCGCCAUGUCUUGACUUACAUAGGAGUCCGUCCUUGGUUCUGACUUGUCCCCCGUCACGUGGUCGUCACGUCCCCGCUGUGAGGGGUUGAUUUGUUUUCUCCCUAAAAAUGAAGGAUCUGGAGGGAAGUCCAUGAGGAUGAGGAGGGCAAAAACAGAGCAUAUAUGCCCUGGACUGGCCUCUUGCUCCAAGUGACAGCCUCUGCCGGUGCCAUGAGAUUUCAAGCAGGAGGCGAGCCCAGACUUUGGCAGCCAGAGGCAGCCUCUGGGAGGCUGGGGGUGUGGGCAGCCGGUGGGUCCUCUGGCUCAGCGUUUUGCAUCUGCCGGUGGUCACACAGGAUAAGCCGCUUUUGUCUUCAGCUGGAUGUUCUGGGUUUGGAAGGGCCAGAGGACACUGUCCUUUGCCUCGCCAGAGAGGGGACUGUGGGAAUUUUUGCAGCAGGAGUCAGCGUUCCCCCCGGUGGAUGAAACAAAGAGCUGUUUCUCCUUUAGACGCCGUGCCAAAUGAAACUGCUUGUGGCUCUUGGCAGCAGCCUCACCUCCCUAGCCUUGCCUUCUGGAGGUUAAAAAGUAAGUGGACAGUUAGUUGCCCGGUGAGGUGAGGAUUCCCCACCUUGCUCCUGGGAGCCGGUCUUACUGUAGGGUAACCACAGGAGGAAGCUGGAGAAUGUGAUCCGAGAAGAACAUGGGAAAAAUCCUUCAAGCAAGCAACUUGUCCUGAACGGGCAGAACUCCAAAUAGAGUAUCACAGUGGGUGCUUAGUGUUCAGACCUCAGAUCCCACCUGAAAUGGAGGUACGAACGUGUCGUUUACCAGGAACUUGUGUGCACACACGCCAGGGACCGCAGGCUCACACGCUCGCCUCUUGCCUCUGACCCCCCUGUUGGGUCCCUCCCGCUGCCCUCCUUCUCCCGGAGGGUUAGCAAGUAGCAACCUGGCAUUUGUAGCUUUGGCGUCUCUCUUUUCCCACCUCUGCCUGCACUCGGGACUUAAUGCCGUGAAGGUUUGUGAGGGAGGCAGCGAGGAGGAGGAGAGCUUUGGACAGUUCACUUCCAGAUGUCAGAAGGCUGCCCUCAACGCCGUGACGAACGUCCGUCCCCACCUCCCCUUCCUCCCCUUCUCCCCCUUCCCUUCUGUUUGGCUCGUUUACUUUGCUCGUAGUUCUCAUUCAGUCAUUGAAAUCGGUGUGAACACACUCCUAAUUAUGGGCCAGGAACUGAGCCGAACUGCUGAACGAGUCACGAGUCACGGGGUGUCUGACCUCUUGGAGAUUUUAAUCACGCGGGGAAGACAGAUACGAAAUUAAACAAGCCCAACGCA